GAUGAAGAACGCAGCGAAAUGCGAUAAGUAAUGUGAAUUGCAGAAUUCAGUGAAUCAUCGAAUCUUUGAACGCACAUUGCGCCCGCCAGUAUUCUGGCGGGCAUGCCUGUUCGAGCGUCAUUUCAACCAUCAAGCCCCCGGCUUGUGUUGGGGACCUGCGGCUGCCGCAGGCCCUGAAAAGCAGUGGCGGGCUCGCUGUCACACCGAGCGUAGUAGCAUACAUCUCGCUCUGGGCGUGCUGCGGGUUCCGGCCGUUAAACCACCUUCAUAACCCGAGGUUGACCUCGGAUCAGGUAGGAAGACCCGCUGAACUUAAGCAUAUCAAUAAGCGGAGGA
RNAcentral lists this unclassified non-coding RNA (336 nucleotides) under soil metagenome. Its description in RNAcentral is "partial contains 5.8S ribosomal RNA, internal transcribed spacer 2, and large subunit ribosomal RNA". The stretch from base 1 to 120 matches the Rfam family "5.8S ribosomal RNA", at positions 35 to 154 of the family's 154-position model. The record is from RNAcentral.